GUGGGGAAUCUUGCACAAUGGGGGAAACCCUGAUGCAGCGACGCCGCGUGAGCGAUGAAGCCCUUCGGGGUGUAAAGCUCUUUCGGCAGGGACGAUUAUGACGGUACCUGCGGAAGAAGCUGCGGCUAACUACGUGCCAGCAGCCGCGGUAAUACGUAGGCAGCAAGCGUUGUUCGGAGUUACUGGGCGUAAAGAGUGUGUAGGCGGUCUGCUAAGUCCGGUGUGAAAUCUCCUGGCUCAACUGGGAGGGUGCGCCGGAAACUGGCAGGCUGGAGUGCGGGAGAGGGAAGCGGAAUUCCUGGUGUAGCGGUGAAAUGCGUAGAUAUCAGGAGGAACACCCGCGGUGUAGACGGCUUCCUGGACCGUUACUGACGCUGAGACACGAAAGCGUGGGGAGCAAACAGGAUUAGAUACCCUGGUAGUCC
Molecule: ribosomal RNA, 425 nt
Filed under: uncultured bacterium
Lineage: Bacteria
Description: bacterial SSU rRNA
Rfam family: Bacterial small subunit ribosomal RNA
Source: RNAcentral